AUACGGAGGGUGCAAGUGUUAAUCGGAAUUACUGGGCGUAAAGCGCGCGUAGGCGGCUUGAUAAGUCGGAUGUGAAAUCCCCGGGCUUAACCUGGGAAUUGCAUUCGAUACUGUCAGGCUAGAGUGUGGUAGAGGGAAGUGGAAUUUCCGGUGUAGCGGUGAAAUGCGUAGAUAUCGGAAAGAACACCAGUGGCGAAGGCGACUUCCUGGCCCAAUACUGACGCUGAGGUGCGAAAGCGUGGGGAGCGAACAGGAUUAGAUACCCUAGUAGUCC
RNAcentral lists this ribosomal RNA (274 nucleotides) under uncultured bacterium. RNAcentral describes it as "partial 16S ribosomal RNA". It matches the Rfam family "Bacterial small subunit ribosomal RNA", at positions 523 to 796 of the family's 1533-position model. The record is from RNAcentral.